GAUGAACGCUGGCGGCGUGCCUAAUACAUGCAAGUCGAGCGAACAGACGAGGAGCUUGCUCCUCUGACGUUAGCGGCGGACGGGUGAGUAACACGUGGAUAACCUACCUAUAAGACUGGGAUAACUUCGGGAAACCGGAGCUAAUACCGGAUAAUAUAUUGAACCGCAUGGUUCAAUAGUGAAAGACGGUUUUGCUGUCACUUAUAGAUUGAUCCGCGCCGCAUUAGCUAGUUGGUAAGGUAACGGCUUACCAAGGCAACGAUGCGUAGCCGACCUGAGAGGGUGAUCGGCCACACUGGAACUGAGACACGGUCCAGACUCCUACGGGAGGCAGCAGUAGGGAAUCUUCCGCAAUGGGCGAAAGCCUGACGGAGCAACGCCGCGUGAGUGAUGAAGGUCUUCGGAUCGUAAAACUCUGUUAGUAGGGAAGAACAAAUGUGUAAGUAACUAUGCACGUCUUGACGGUACCUAAUCAGAAAGCCACGGCUAACUACGUG
Molecule: ribosomal RNA, 497 nt
Filed under: uncultured bacterium
Lineage: Bacteria
Description: partial 16S ribosomal RNA
Rfam family: Bacterial small subunit ribosomal RNA
Source: RNAcentral